Molecule: ribosomal RNA, 415 nt
Filed under: uncultured crenarchaeote
Lineage: Archaea; Thermoproteati; Thermoproteota
Description: partial 16S ribosomal RNA
Rfam family: Archaeal small subunit ribosomal RNA
Source: RNAcentral
GCGCAGCAGGCGCGAAAACUCCGCAAUGCACGAAAGUGUGACGGGGUCAGCCCGAGUGCCAACCGAAAACGUUGGCUUUUCACCCGCCUAAAAAGCAGGUGGAAUAAGGGGAGGGCAAGGCUGGUGCCAGCCGCCGCGGUAAAACCAGCUCCUCGAGUAGUCAAGACGAUUAUUGGGCCUAAAGCGUCCGUAGCCAGCCUAGUAAGUCUCUGGUUAAAUCUAACGGCUCAACCGUUAGGCUGCUAGAGAUACUGCUAGACUCGGAGGCGGGAUAGGUCGAGGGUACUCUCAGGGUAGGGGUGAAAUCCUAUAAUCCUGAGGGGACCACCAGUGGCGAAGGCGCUCGACUGGAACGCGCUCGACGGUGAGGGACGAAAGCUAGGGGAGCGAACCGGAUUAGAUACCCGGGUAGUCC